AGAUUGAACGCUGGCGGCAUGCCUUACACAUGCAAGUCGAACGGCAGCACGGGAGCAAUCCUGGUGGCGAGUGGCGAACGGGUGAGUAAUAUAUCGGAACGUGCCCAGUAGUGGGGGAUAGCCCGGCGAAAGCCGGAUUAAUACCGCAUACGACCUACGGGUGAAAGCGGGGGAUCGCAAGACCUCGCGUUAUUGGAGCGGCCGAUAUCAGAUUAGCUUGUUGGCGGGUAAAAGCCCACCAAGGCAACGAUCUGUAGCUGGUCUGAGAGGACGACCAGCCACACUGGGACUGAGACACGGCCCAGACUCCUACGGGAGGCAGCAGUGGGAAUUUUGGACAAUGGGCGCGAAGCCUGAUCCAGCCAUGCCGCGUGGUGGGAAGAAGGCCCGUUCGGUUAGUAAACCUACGUUUUGUACGAGGUAAGAACGGUACCUUACUAAUAUUAGGGACUAAGUGACGUACUGAAGAAUAAGC
Molecule: ribosomal RNA, 475 nt
Filed under: uncultured soil bacterium
Lineage: Bacteria
Description: bacterial SSU rRNA
Rfam family: Bacterial small subunit ribosomal RNA
Source: RNAcentral